RNAcentral lists this unclassified non-coding RNA (280 nucleotides) under Hevea brasiliensis (rubber tree). The record is from RNAcentral. Lineage: Eukaryota; Viridiplantae; Streptophyta; Magnoliopsida; Malpighiales; Euphorbiaceae.
ACCAGCCCUUCUUCUCUAACUAUCUAUUAGAAUUUCUUUUCAGACGCUGCCUUACUAGCAACUUCUUAACAAAGAAGGGAAAACUAUGGCGAGCAGUAAGCAAUCGAAUUUCGAUUGCACCAAAUUGCUAACCAACACUCUCAACAACGCAAAGAAACGGUGGCGUAUUGCUUAUUUAACAAUCUGUUCUGUUCGUGCUAUGCUUUCUCUCGUAAGAGAGAUAAUUGUAUCCGAAACAAAUAGCUAUCAACACUCUGGUAUUCUGCACUCUGUUCCCUAC